UACGUAGGCGGACUGGAAAGUAUGGGGUGAAAUCCCGGGGCUCAACCUCGGAACUGCCUCAUAAACUAUCAGUCUAGAGUUCGAGAGAGGUGAGUGGAAUUCCGAGUGUAGAGGUGAAAUUCGUAGAUAUUCGGAGGAACACCAGUGGCGAAGGCGGCUCACUGGCUCGAUACUGACGCUGAGGUACGAAAGUGUGGGGAGCAAACAGGAUUAGAUACCCUGGUAGUCC
RNAcentral lists this ribosomal RNA (229 nucleotides) under uncultured bacterium. Its description in RNAcentral is "partial 16S ribosomal RNA". It matches the Rfam family "Bacterial small subunit ribosomal RNA", at positions 568 to 796 of the family's 1533-position model. The record is from RNAcentral.